Molecule: long non-coding RNA, 775 nt
Filed under: Homo sapiens (human)
Lineage: Eukaryota; Metazoa; Chordata; Mammalia; Primates; Hominidae
Description: HSALNT0366009
Source: RNAcentral
CUGUGCUCGCGGCCGUCCGGCCCGUCCGGCAGCCCCGGGUCAGCCCGGUGAACUAAGCGGACCCGGGAUGGCCGAGCCGGGGGCCGGCGUUCUGUGCUCCGUUUGCUCACCCUGACCGUGGCACCCGCAUAAGCCGUCUGUGUGUUCCAGAGAGGCCAGCCCUGCAUGUGCUGUCCGUGAGCGUGCUUGGACCUACGCAUAGGACCCAGCUGAGCGGGACAUUUACACGACUGCUGGGGUCGAGGGCAGAACAGGGGGAAACUGUGUUCUGGCGGAGGCACAGCACCCCGGGAGCACCCAGAGCCUGUGAGUAGAGCCAUAGGAAGAACACCGGGAUGCCGCAGACAAAGAAGAAGAUGAAGUAGGGGAUGAAGAAGGCUCCUGCAGAAGAGAGAGAGGCAGGGCUGAGCCACACCCGGGCUCUUCCUCAGCCUCCAUCCUUUCAGACCCUCCUCCCCCAACAAACCCGCCCUCCACCAUCCUGUUCUUAAUCUCCCUCCUGACACUUUCCAAGGGCCCACUCCUGCCUGCGUGCAGUCCUGAGUGUUAGGCAGGCACAGGUGGGAAUGUUCUGAUCUGAACCCUACACAGAAUGAGAAAGGCCUUGGAAGGGAAAUUAGUGAAAACUUAGGUGGAAAUUCUAAUAUAUGCACUAUUUAUUUUCUUAGUGUGCUUUACAAAUCUAGUCAAUAGAUUAUUUUUGGAAUAAACACAUGGCUUCUGUAUAACUUGAUAUGCUUAUUAAACUCUUGGUACAUUUUAGAGAAAAACAAAC